CGAACGGGUGAGUAACGCGUGAGGAACCUGCCUCAAAGAGGGGGACAACAGUUGGAAACGACUGCUAAUACCGCAUAAGCCCACGGCUCGGCAUCGAGCAGAGGGAAAAGGAGUGAUCCGCUUUGAGAUGGCCUCGCGUCCGAUUAGCUGGUUGGUGAGGUAACGGCCCACCAAGGCGACGAUCGGUAGCCGGACUGAGUGGUUGAACGGCCACAUUGGGACUGAGACACGGCCCAG
This 237-nucleotide ribosomal RNA is filed under the name uncultured bacterium. RNAcentral's name for it is "partial 16S ribosomal RNA". It matches the Rfam family "Bacterial small subunit ribosomal RNA", at positions 99 to 334 of the family's 1533-position model. The record is from RNAcentral.